Nicotiana tabacum (common tobacco) is the source of this 1094-nucleotide non-coding RNA. NCBI's taxonomy places the organism in Eukaryota, Viridiplantae, Streptophyta, Magnoliopsida, Solanales, Solanaceae. The record is from RefSeq and is a predicted model, not a curated record.
AGGGAGAGAGAAACCUAGUUAUUUCUACAGUGUUUUGAAGAGGUUUUUGAGAGCAUGAACGACCUAGGGCUUUCCCAAUCCGUCCAAGGUUUUCACCCAAGAAUCAAAGAGUUCUUCAAGACCCAAAACCUAGGGUUUGUUGAGGCAUCGUUCAAGGUGAUGGAAAGGCAUUAAUGGUUGUAUAUAAACUUGAAGGAGAAGAUGGGUGAACAAGAUUGAUUGAUUUAAUGGUUACUCCAUAAAUAUAGAUUUUGGAGCAUUGGCAUUGAAGGGAAAACUUGAACAUUCGGUUAGAGGUAAGUCAACGGCUAGAUAAGAAUGGGCAUUGUAUAUUGCUUAUUUGCUUACCUUACAUUUCAGAAUGAACUAUAUAUAUAAAAGUGAAAACCUUUAAGACAGAAAAAGAUUAAAUAGUAUGACUUGUUGCAAUUAUUUACUUGUGUGCAAUUGUUUGAUUUUGUGAAGUUAUAUGUAUUGUUCAGACCUUUAGUUCAUAUUUAGAACAGAAGCCGAUUGGUUUCUUGAUGUGCUAUGAUUGCUUGUUUAUGUGCAAUUUCAUGUACUGCUCAGAUUUUCAGUUCAGAUUCAGAAAAGGGAAUUUGGUCUAGUGGACACUUUAUCCGCGAGGGCCUAGUGUGCGUGAGUUGGUCUAGUGGACACUUUAUCCACGAGGGCCUAGUUUAUUCGGAUUCAAAAAAGAGAAGUAACCAACCUCCCCAGUGUGGGUGACACGGUGGACAUUGCUAGCUACCCCACAUUUACAGGUGCUAACACAUUUAGAUUCGCAUUCAGAAAGGGAAGUGGCCAACCUCCCCUAGUAUGAGUGCCGCCAGAGACAAGGAUAGGAUAGCUAUCCCACACUUGCAGGUGCCAUUGUUUGUGGGAGAUAGGUCGACACCCCUCGUGUGUGUCCCAGAUGCUCAUGUACGCAGGGCCACCAUGUGCAAAGUUUAUUUUUUUAAAACUAACUCAGUUUUCAGCUUCAGUUUCAUAUAUCAGUUUUGCUUCAGCUUUCAGCUUUAAUUCAGUUAUAAGAUAUAGACCCGAUUUUCAGUUUUAGCUUUUAGUGAUAAGUUUUGAUUGAAUGUUCCGAA